ACUGUGGACGGGGUCCCUGGGCUUUCCCCUAGGGUCCCAUCAGCUGCUUAUGUUCUACCUUCUGACGGAUCACAGGAGGAGCCUGCAGCGGAGGAGCCUCCUCCUCCUCAGCAUCAGACCUAAAGGGAGUGUCCUGCCUGAAGGACCGGCUCAAGGUCGCACUAACAGCUCUUGCUAACUCCUGUUCCAGGCUGUUUAUCUGGGCCUCCAAGUACCCUGCUUGCGCCUGGAGGUCUCUCACCCCCAGGUCCUGCUCAAAGCUGUGCACUUGGGCCCCCAGGCAUGCGGCUUGCUCCGGAAGGUCCCUUACCUGUGGCACUGAGCAUGUACUUCCUGCAGUGCAGUUAGAAAUGCCCAUCCGACUCUGCUUGCAAAGACAUCUGCAAUGGCAGUUCACAUGGCUCAGAUAGCUCACUUCUGCAGAGAGCUGAAUUUAAGUGGGACAGGGUAGCAAGAAUAAUUACUUUGACAAUCAUUUUGCCACCUGAUGACUGUGCUGCCUGUCCUGAGCUGAGUUCCUUUAUUUAUAGGCACAGCUGCUUAAAGACUGUUACCGGAAAGGAAUCCUGAUCCAGACGCCAAGAGAGGGUUCUUGGACUCAUGCAAGAAAGACUUCAGAAUACGAGUUUUGAAUUUUUGAAUUGCUGUUAAAACUUUCAUCAUGAACACUGAAGUGAGUGAAAAGAGACUUUUGCAGUCAUUUUUUUGCUGGCUGCAGAUGACAGUGACACCCUGGGAGUUGAGAAAUGCUUGUAAGAUGGAAGGAGGCUGUGUCC
Homo sapiens (human) is the source of this 776-nucleotide long non-coding RNA. The record is from Ensembl. Lineage: Eukaryota; Metazoa; Chordata; Mammalia; Primates; Hominidae.